AUGGCGACCAGCUUCGGCGGCGACGGCGCACACGGAGUCGACGGAAGCGGCGACGGCGCACUUAGCGGCGAAGGCGGAGGUACUACUUCAGGGCAGAAGCGGCUGCGCUCACAAUGCGGAGUCAUCGACCCCACUCUCGGCCCCCACACCGAUGGCGGCUGCGACCUAGAUCCAGAGACGGCCGCGGCGGCGGGCCUGUCGCCGGAGCCUGGUACCGAGGAAGCAGCUUUGCAGAUUGGUCCCGAGGAUAUGCUCCCGUUCGCCCCAUCUUCAGCUAGGCCUGAAGAUUUAUGGUCAAUCUAUUUCCAGUUUCCUGGGAAGAAGUAUGCUCUUGUUAAGAUGUCUGAAAGAGAAAUCACUUAUGCUAGUUUGGUCAAUGUAAUGGUCACCAAUGGAUACUGUAAGGAUGACAGUCUUUGCUACUUGAAAGAGGAAGAUAUAGGGCUGCAAGGUGUUUGUGUCAUUAAAGGCAACAUUGAAGUAGUUCGCAUGCUGAGAGAAUUUGAGAGCACCCAGACAUUGUCACUGACAGUUAUAAAGGGAAAGGUAGUUAUUGAACCACCAAUUGGAGAAGAUCAAGAUGCACAACAAAUAGAUGCAGAGCCAGGUGUUGUUUUUGCUGUUGCUGAAUCAGGUGUUGUGCACAAAUCAGUUCCUCCUAACUGUCAGUUACAUCUUGGGACACAGGAAAGUGUAAAUUUUUUGCCACUCAAAUCAGUUCCUCCUGAAGUAAGUGUCAAUUAUGCUGAUUUUCAGUUUGAUUCAAAUGAGGAGGACAAUGCAGUUAGUGAGGAAGAAAUUCCUAUAGGCAUGGACACAGAUGAUGAUGAAGGUUCAAGCAGUGAUGAAGAAUUUGUAGUUGAUGUGGACCUCUUAGCUGCAGGAGAAGAAGAAGAUGACUCAGAUUCAGUGCAAUAUGUGGAAGAACAGAGUGCAAAGAGGAGGAAAGAGGAACAUGAGCUAGAUGAAACUAUUGCUGACAUAAAGAGGAAGAGAGCUGAAUACAUGGCUAGUACACUCUGUGAGGGGGACACCGAUCCUGAAGAUAUAUAUGACAUGGACCAGGAAGAAGAUGAUGAGGAGGCCCAAGAGAUCCCAGUUCCCGAGCCUAUUAAGAAGAAGGCAAAGAGGCCAGGUCCUACAAGUAGGUCCCACUCAAGUGCUGGGCCAACCAUUAAUCCUGAUUGGUUUCCAUCUUCAGAAGAGGAAGAUACAUGCUUUGAAGCAGAUGAUGAUGGCAAUGAAGCAAUGUCCUUUGUUAUCAGCUCUGGCAGAAGGAGUAGAGCUAAGAAAAGACCACCUAGGGUCUGGUAUGAUGAGAACAGGAUGCAUCCAGAACAACAAUUCCAGCUGAAGCUCUGUUUGAAAGAUGUUUACCAAUUCAGAGAGGCCCUUGUCAAUUUGCAUGUUAAACAACUUAGAAGAUACAAAUAUCACAGAAACUGCAGUGAUAGGAUAAUAGUUUGCUGUGAUGGAGAUGGUUGUCAGUUCUACAUGGUAGCAGCACAGAUAAGAAAUGAGCCCACUUUCUGCAUUAAGAAGAUGAGGUUGGAGCACACAUGUCCCACCCAGUCUGAGAAAACUAGGAUUAGUUCAAGGUGGCUUGGCAACAAAAUGCUUGAAACUAUCAGAUCAGAUCCCAACACUACUGUACCUGCUAUUGUUGACAAGGCAAAGAAGCAAUUUGGGCUUGAGAUUCCUAGGAUGAUGGCAUGGAGGGCUAAGAAGAAAGCAAAGGAGAUUGUGCUUGGUGAUCACAAGAAGCAAUAUAAGAGGCUGAGAGACUAUUUGGAGACUGUGAAGCUUACAAAUCCUGGAUCUAGGUGCAUUGUCACUACAGUUAGUGGCAAAACCAGAGAAAAUCCUACUGCUGGACCAAGGUUCCAUGGUCUAUUUUUCAGUUUGAAUGCAUGUUGUGAGGGCUUCUUGAAUGGAUGUAGGCCAUUCAUAGGUCUAGAUGGCUGCAUCAUCAAAUUGACAAGUGGUGCACAGAUACUAGCAGCUACUGGAAGGGAUGCAAACAACAAUAUGUACCCCAUUGCAUUUGGAGUGGUUGGAGUUGAAGAUACAGUGAACUGGUCCUGGUUCUUGACACAACUCAAGUAUGCUAUAGGAGGAAGUGAAGAGGGCAAAUUUGGAAAGUACACAUUCAUGUCUGAUAGACAGAAGGGUCUACUGAAUGCAGUGACAGCAGAAUUCCCAAACUGCGAUCAUAGGUACUGUUUGAGGCACAUCUAUGCAAACUUCCAGAGAGCAGGAUUUGGAGGAGAGGAUUUGAAGAGAUGCAUGGAUGCAGCUGCCUAUGCUUACACUGAACAUGACUUUAAUUUGGCUAUGGAAAGCAUGAAGGCUGAGUGCACUGCUGCUUGGGAGUGGAUGUCAAGAAUUCCUCGUAAAGCUUGGUCUAGGCAUGCAAUGGACACUAAUUGCAAAACUGAUUUGGUGGUGAAUACCUUAAGUGAAGUUUUUAAUAAGUACAUUCUAGAUGUAAGGAACAAGCCAAUUGUCACAAUGAUCAAUGGGAUCAAGGACAAGUUUCUAGUGAGGUUCCACCAGAAGAGAGAGGGUGGAAAAUGUGCUAGAUGGGAGAUUGCACCAACCUAUGCAGAGAUGUUGGAGGUGAACAAGAAGUAUGCAAGGGAUUGCAAAGCACUGAUAGCUGGCCAAGGACUUUUCCAAGUCACUAGUGGAGACAAGACCUAUGGUGUUGACACAAACCUACAGAUAUGUGGGUGCAAGAAAUGGGACAUCACUGGAGUUCCUUGCAACCAUGCUUGUUCUGCCAUCUAUAGAUCUAAACAGCUGCCAGAGGAUCAUAUCAAUGUGUUUUUCAAGAAAUCUAUGACAAGAAGGGGCCAGCAAAAGAGAAAAGGAAAAAAAGGAAAGUUUGAGCCACCUCAAGCAAAGCAGACAUCUAGGAUGGCUACUAUAACAUGUGGGAACUGCAAGCUGCAAGGACACAAGUACACAAGUUGUCCAAAGCCAUUGAGGCCUGAUCUGCAAAUCAGGAGGAACAAGCACAUGGCAAACAGGACUGUACCUGAAUGGCACCAUGGUGCAGCUUCAUCAGCUACUGGAAGUGCUAGGGGUGCACCAUCAUCAUCUACUAAUAACUCCUCUCCUGCUGCUGCAAGAGGUGCAAAGACUAGUUCAUCUGCUGCAAGGGGUGCUAGUUCAUCUGCUGCUGCUGGAAGGGGAGCAAGGUCUGCUACUACUCCUGGAAGGGGUGCUAGUUCUUCUCCUACUGCUGGGAGAGGUGCAAGAUGUUCCACUGCUGCUAGAAGGGGUGCAAAAAGGUUCAAGCCUCCAAGAAGUUCUGCAGAAGCUUCUACUAGCCAGCCUGCAGGCAGUAGGCCAAAGAGGACAAAGUACAUGAGCAAGAGGAUGGAGGGGUACUUCUAUGCCAGUGGGAACUACUAA
Molecule: ribosomal RNA, 3420 nt
Filed under: Triticum aestivum (bread wheat)
Lineage: Eukaryota; Viridiplantae; Streptophyta; Magnoliopsida; Poales; Poaceae
Description: partial small subunit ribosomal RNA
Source: RNAcentral